This 352-nucleotide unclassified non-coding RNA is filed under the name soil metagenome. RNAcentral describes it as "partial contains 5.8S ribosomal RNA, internal transcribed spacer 2, and large subunit ribosomal RNA". The stretch from base 1 to 120 matches the Rfam family "5.8S ribosomal RNA", at positions 35 to 154 of the family's 154-position model. The record is from RNAcentral.
GAUGAAGAACGUAGCGAAAUGCGAUAAGUAAUGUGAAUUGCAGAAUUCAGUGAAUCAUCGAAUCUUUGAACGCACAUUGCGCCCGCCAGUAUUCUGGCGGGCAUGCCUGUUCGAGCGUCAUUACAACCCUCAGGCCCCCGGGCCUGGCGUUGGGGAUCGGCGGAGCCCCCCGUGGGCACAACGCCGUCCCCCAAAUACAGUGGCGGUCCCGCCGCAGCUUCCAUUGCGUAGUAGCUAACACCUCGCAACUGGAGAGCGGCGCGGCCACGCCGUAAAACACCCAACUUCUGAAUGUUGACCUCGAAUCAGGUAGGAAUACCCGCUGAACUUAAGCAUAUCAAUAAGCGGAGGA